GUGGCCUAUUGCGUCAGCGCCCUCUUCUGCACUCAGGGUGGCCCCUACUUUCACCAGAUAAUUGAACAGGGGCUUACUCGGAACCUCAUGCUUACUGUGACAAUGUUAGAAACCCUGGGUUUAAUAUGGUUCUACGGUUUGAGAAGGAUCUGCUUUGACGUCGAAUACAUGCUCAAGAAACCGGUGAGCCCUUAUUGGAUGAUGACUUGGACCUUCACAGCACCGACGAUCACGAUCGUUAUCUUCACAUAUCAGGCCCUAGCAGUAGUUGAGGGAGACCUCAUCAUGG
Long non-coding RNA from Ixodes scapularis (black-legged tick), 289 nucleotides. RefSeq lists it as uncharacterized. The record is from RefSeq and is a predicted model, not a curated record. NCBI's taxonomy places the organism in Eukaryota, Metazoa, Arthropoda, Arachnida, Ixodida, Ixodidae. The transcript is spliced from 4 exons.